RNAcentral lists this long non-coding RNA (203 nucleotides) under Hordeum vulgare. Its description in RNAcentral is "long non-coding RNA (HVUL_LNC009800)". Lineage: Eukaryota; Viridiplantae; Streptophyta; Magnoliopsida; Poales; Poaceae. The record is from RNAcentral.
GUUGAAAUUAGUAGUGGGCCUUAGGCCCAUAAGAGAAUUUCAGAAAUCUCCAAGGGCCCAUGUAGGUGGUGGCAUGACAAGGUGGUGGUGGGAAGUUUAGUCCCACCCCGCUAGUGGAGAAGAAGUUGGACCCCUUUAUAAGGGUCUCUCUUCUACAUGCUAUUGGAGAGUGAGAAGAGAAGAUGCCCUCGCGCACUCCUCCU